RNAcentral lists this ribosomal RNA (468 nucleotides) under uncultured bacterium. RNAcentral's name for it is "partial 16S ribosomal RNA". It matches the Rfam family "Bacterial small subunit ribosomal RNA", at positions 28 to 507 of the family's 1533-position model. The record is from RNAcentral.
GACGAACGCUGGCGGCGUGCUUAACACAUGCAAGUCGAACGGAAAGGCCCUGCAGUUGUGGGGUGCUCAAGUUGCGAACGAGUGAGUAACACGUGAGUAACCUGCCCGUGACUUUGGGAUGAAUUCAGGAAACUGGGGCUAAUACCGGAUAGGAACUCCUGCUGCAUGGUGGGGGGUGGAAAGGUUCGGCGGUUUGGGAUGGAAUCGCGGCUUAUCAGCUGGUUGUUGGGGUAGUGGCGUACCAAGGCUUUGACGGGUAGCCGGCCUGAGAGGGUGACCGGCCACAUUGUGACUGAGAUAGGGCCCAGACUCCUACUGGCGGCAGCAGUGGGGAAUAUUGCACAAUGGGCGGCAGCCGGAUGCAGCACCGCCGCGUGCGGGAUCACUGCCUUCCGGUUGUAAACCGCUUUCGGCGGUGACGAAGAGUGAGUGACGGUAAUGGGUAAAGAAGCACCGGCUAACUACGUG